Molecule: non-coding RNA, 73 nt
Organism: Clostridiales bacterium GWD2_32_19
Lineage: Bacteria; Bacillati; Bacillota; Clostridia; Eubacteriales
Source: Rfam
GCUUCUGUAGCUCAGUAGGUAGAGCAAUACCAUGGUAAGGUAUAGGUCAGCGGUUCGAUUCCGCUCAGGAGCU